UUCAACAAGAUGGCUUCCUUCGUGCAGCUUUGCUGCUCUCGAAGAAGAUGAAUACAACUAAUGAUAGUAAACCAAACUAACAAACGUGAAAGAAAAUAACUUGGCUGGUCGAUAAACUGGACUAGACUUGACUACUUCUGGUUGAAUUAUGUUUAUAUUCUUCCAUUUGGGGUUCUACUAAACACAUCUAGUCACAUUCGCAUCACUUCACCAAAGGUCUCCACCGUCGACUCCAAGAACAAGCCAUAAAAAGAGCUAGAAAAGGUCAGAAAAAACUCUUGGUCUUAAGAAAAAAUGUCGUGGCUGGAGUUGGAAACAGAAGCCUCUUCAGCGCAGCUCCAGGAACUGGAAAAAGCCGUCGACGACGAAGACGACCGAGGAAAAGAAACCAAAAGCCUGAAACAAUGGGAAAGAUCUUGGUAGAGCCCAGUGUAUCUUGAACAGAGAAAAGAUGGACAAUGAAGAUGAUGAUGGCCAUCACAAACCCGAUGAUGUGUACUGCCAGGAACAGAUCAUAGCGAGUGUUGUACUUGUUGUUAUAGGGGUAAU
Long non-coding RNA from Actinia tenebrosa (Australian red waratah sea anemone), 549 nucleotides. RefSeq lists it as uncharacterized. The record is from RefSeq and is a predicted model, not a curated record. Lineage: Eukaryota; Metazoa; Cnidaria; Anthozoa; Actiniaria; Actiniidae.